GCCUAACACAUGCAAGUCAGGGGCCGCAAGGCACCGGCGAACGGGUGCGUAACACGUGAGCAAUCUGCCUCGAUGUGGGGGAUAGCCGGCCCAACGGCCGGGUAAUACCGCAUACGCUCUUUUGGUGGCAUCACCUGAAGAGGAAACAUUUUUGGCAUUGAGAGGAGCUCGCGGCCUAUCAGCUAGUUGGUGGGGUAACGGCCUACCAAGGCAUUGACGGGUAGCUGGUCUGAGAGGAUGGCCAGCCACAAUUGGGACUGAGAUACGGCCCAGACUCCUACGGGAGGCAGCAGUGGGGAAUAUUGGACAAUGGGCGAAAGCCUGACGCAGCGACGCCGCGUGGGGGAUGAAGCAUUUCGGUGUGUAAACCCCUGUUGCUCGGGACGAAAAACUGGAUUCUUCCAGUCUGACGGUACCGGGUGAGGAAGCACCGGCUAACUACGUGCCAGCAGCCGCGGUAAU
RNAcentral lists this ribosomal RNA (462 nucleotides) under uncultured bacterium. RNAcentral describes it as "bacterial SSU rRNA". It matches the Rfam family "Bacterial small subunit ribosomal RNA", at positions 46 to 524 of the family's 1533-position model. The record is from RNAcentral.